GGGAAAAGCUCAAAUUUAGAAUCUGGCAGUCUUUGAUUGUCCGAGUUGUAAUUUGUAGAGGAUGUUUUGGGUACCGCCCCGGUCUAAAUUUCUUGGAACAGAAUGUCAAAGAGGGUGAGAAUCCCGUCUUGGACCGGCGGUAGGGCCUGUGUAAAACUCCUUCGAC
RNAcentral lists this ribosomal RNA (166 nucleotides) under Herpotrichiellaceae sp. RNAcentral's name for it is "partial large subunit ribosomal RNA". It matches the Rfam family "Eukaryotic large subunit ribosomal RNA", at positions 100 to 261 of the family's 3401-position model. Lineage: Eukaryota; Fungi; Ascomycota; Eurotiomycetes; Chaetothyriales; Herpotrichiellaceae. The record is from RNAcentral.